Paralichthys olivaceus (Japanese flounder) is the source of this 3631-nucleotide non-coding RNA. Lineage: Eukaryota; Metazoa; Chordata; Actinopteri; Pleuronectiformes; Paralichthyidae. The record is from RefSeq and is a predicted model, not a curated record.
AACUGAUUUCCUGUUAAUUCUGCAGAAGAAGAGUGCGGCGACGCCAGCAGAGUACAAGAAGACAGAUGAACCUCAGCCCGAUGUGAAGGAGGAGGAAGAAGAGGAGGAAGAGAAGGAGGAGAAGGAAGAGAAAGCUGAAGAGGCAGAGGAGAGCAGUCCAGCUGCAGAGGAGAAGAGCGACAAAGAGGAAAGUCCGGCAGAGGAAGAGGAGGCAGAGAAUGAUGAAGAUCAGGAGGCCACAGGAGAUGAGAAGUUGGAGGAGGAUGUUCUGCGGAGAUCUCCCAGGAACAAGAAGGUCAGAAAAGACUGAAAUCUCUGAAUCCAAAGCCCUGACCUCGACUCCUCCCCCCCACCGUCUCCCCCUAAAACUCCCAUCCCCCCUCCUCCGCUCCGAGGUGAUGAAGCCUGAAUGGAUCCCGAGGAAGCAGUGAAGCCGACCGGAAACUAAUCAAGAAAUGGACGCCUGAUGAUGAUUCCAGUGUGAGCAGGACUGAGUUAGUUUGAUUAAAGGAGAUUAACUAAGAUUAACGAAAACCUGCAUCAUUCCUUAACACCUGAGCAGACUCAAACCCACGACGCCAGCGUCUCCUCUUCCCAUCUGCUGAGCUGCCGCCCGCCGCCUCCAAUGAGCUGGCAAAAGCCCCGCCCUCCCAACAGCCUGUUAAAACCCUGUUGACAGUUUGCUGAGCAGUCCUCUUAGUUAACGUAGGUAACUGACUCUAAUUAAACAGUGAAGUCAAACCUCAGGUCUGACGUCAACCUGUUUGGUCUAAUAACGAAGCUGUUAGCGUUAGGAUUAACUAACCCACUGAAAAUCAACCAGUCAGAAUAUAACGACAGGAAGUCUGAACCAAAACACCUGAUCAAUAAUCUACAGUUAACUGAUUAGUCUGCUGACAGGCAGAUAAAAUGCCAAUGUAUCAGGGUGCUAAUCAGGCUAACAGGUUAACAGUUAGCCAACAACCAGAAGUCUCUGCACGUUAGCCUUCCAGCUAAUUAGCCACAGAACUUGUCUUUUAACUUUCUAACCACUGUCCAGCAGCUUCUUAGCAACACACGUUAUCAGCUAACGUUCAGAAUUUGAACCACCCAGCAGUCAGGGCUGUCAACACAUGAUCAGGACAGGAGCCUGAAAGGUCUCGCUAAUUAGCCCAUGAGCUACUCAUUAGUGACAGUUUAUCGUAGCUGACCAUCAUCCCUCUAAUCAGCUGAUCAGGCUGCUAACAAGUCCACAGAUAACGUUAAUAACUGCAACUUCUUCUUCUUCUUCUUCCAAGACUCUGGAAAUUAGCCUGUUAGCAUCCCACUCAUUACUUUUCAAUCAGCUGCAGCAGCAGCAUGCUAAUGGUUCCUGAAAUGAAAUGAGUACACUCCAGCUGACAUGAACAGUUUUUUCUUCUCGUCAUGUUAUUGUCUCAGACGUUCGUGGAUGUUUUGUCCCCUCAGUGUUUUUCGACGUGUCUUUGUCCUGGUGGCAGCGGAGAAGGUCAGAGGUCGGGCACUUGUGUUGUGAUCAGGACUGAUGUCAGUUACAGGUGUUUGGUGUCGUGUCGCCUGGAGUCACAGUCACAGAUCGAUCUCCUCAGAUGCGCUGCAUCGUUUUCAGUCAAAACCGUUGAGUCAGCAUAUGUCCUACCGGCGGCAGCAGAUGACCCGCAACUCCAUCUUUUUUCCCCCAUUUUAAUUUGAGUCCAAACAGUGACCGCAGAUGUUUCACUACCUGGAUUGAAAACCAACAUUCAGACGCAUGGUGUCGAUGUGACGAGGAAAAACUGAAUCUGUUUCACAUCAGCAUGUGCGAUGAAGAAGAUCCAACAGACAGGUCUGCAGUAAAACUACAGUUUGGCAAACUGGUGUCGGCAGAUGGACAAACUCCCAGUCCCUCUUUCAUCAACCCCAAAUGAAAAGAAAAAGGCACUAAAGGGGAAAAACUCCAGCGCUUAACCUCUCACCCGUCCACCUGCUGCACGACAACAUGUCCCCAAACCUCCGCUGGUUUUAGCCCCAUGUUAAAGAGACGGCACUUGAGCGCGAAAUUCAUUCUUAACCAUCAAAAAUUCAAGACAAAAUAUCUGAGCUAAAACUCCUGUCAGUCACAUCCCCGUCUGUCUGUUGUCACGACUUUGAGCCGUCUCCAUUCAGCUUCAUUACUCUGCGGAUGAAGACGUGAGAUGAAGCAAAAUGUUGAGUUGAGACAAAACUGAAUCUCUCAGUUGAGGAUCAUUUUUUGUUUCUUCUAACAAACUAUCUUCUGCUGUUAAAUGUGUGUUUCAGUGGUUUUUUAAAAUAACCUGAACCUUAAGAUGUUCCAGCUCUUACUCAAACCAUCGUAAACGUUUUCAGACUUUAUCUAAAGUAAAUGGCAGAUUCAUCGACAGUGAAAAUACUCAUGAGUAGCACCGCUUUGCUAUUUCAACCAGAACCUUUUAAGAUUCUACCUAUCAUCUGCUGCUGCCGCCCCCUGCUGGACGCUGUAGACACAAUCUCGACGUCUCGCUGAGAAAAGGCUUCUAGUUUUAUGCUCAGUAAAGCAACUACAUUAUUUAACUCUUAAAAAAAACUGCUGACUACAACAUAAUGGUAAAUACUGAAUGGUUGUGUUGACCUCUUGACCUUUCCUCUGGCGCCACCAUCGGGACAAAUCUAUUCAUUUUCAGGGCAUAAAAAACACUAAUUAUUCCAUGAACGUUGUGUGUGAAGCUGCAGCAGGAGCUCAGACUCCUGAACUGUGGUCUUGUUUGUUCAUUGUGAAACUGAAGGUUUGUGAUGAAGUAAAAAGCAGAGGAGCACAUGAGAUCACAUGAGUGUGACUGAGCCAGAACGACACGGCGUCGGUUUGCAGACUUUUAAAUCUUUAAAAUAUUGAACCAGUUAGUGUGUGGAAAAGAAAACUACGUCUCAUGACUGUUGAUGUGUCCGUCUCGUCAGUUACACUCGACUAAACGUCACAUCGGGUCUUCCGUCUAUUUCCUGUUGGAUUGAAACAUUUGAUUGGUUAAAGACUAGUCUGGAGUUACUUUUAAACGUCUGAGGUGUUUGUGUUUCUGGUUGUUGCUUAAUUCGUGUUUGGGGCCUUGAGGUGACCCGGAGUUCCCUGCGCUAUGUCCAGGUGACCUUCAUUUGAUCUUCCUCUUCCUCCGUGGGUCAACGCGCUGCAGUGGUUUACGUUUUCGCUGUGAACUGUUGAUUUCCCUCUUUAUUUUUCUCCCUGUGCUGUGAAUGGUUUUAAGAUGAAUCUGACGCAGCGUUACAUUCCCAUCAUGUAUGUUUCAGCCACUAUUCAUCGUCUGCCACCCUCCUCUUCUUCCUGAUGUGUCCGACUCUUAGUUUUCUCUGGUCGUGUCCAGCUGAGGCUGCCUAUAGCUAACAGACUGUAUAGACUGAACACUGUAUCUGCUGGUGAGACUUAACGUGACUCUGUAACUAUUAACUUUUUAUUGUUUUGUUGACUUUGUGUUUAAACUAUUUGGUCGGCCCAGCGUGUUUCUGAUGAGCACCCUGUGCCGCCGCAGCACAGGAAGGUCAAGCCUGGAGUAGAAAUGCUGUGAUGACGGAGCCUGGUGCGUGUGUGGACGUGAAGUCAACAUUUGUUUUGAUGAAUAAAAAGGCCAAAAUGGAAACUAAAUGAAAA